UCCGACAAUACGCAAAGGGUAAUUCGGACAACUUGGUUGUAGUAACAAAAAUUUUGGUACAUAAAUCACGAAUUUAGCCGCGGUUUUUAUUCGUGUUUAAAUGUUUUUAUCGACACUCUAUAAUUUUCAGUUUUAAGUCUAUAGGUGGUUGAAACUGGUUCGACGAAUGUCCGCGUGUAAGAGCUGCUGAUCUUCUUUGGUUUAUCUCCAUCGAUUUUCAAGGUACUUAGCUUUGUUCCUGGUCCUCUCUUUCUCUCCUCGUUUGGCUGGUGAGGUUUGCUAUGUUGUAUUUGUGUCUUUGGUCGCGUUUGAUUCCUGCUUCCUUCCAUGUUGGUGUGCUACUAAUUUGUCUUCGGUGUGAGGUCAUCCGGUCUUUUUGGUGCUUCCGGCAUUCUCAGUUUCUAUAGGGAAGUUUGGUAGGAGUCUCUCUUGCCUCUGCGCAAUUUUAGUGUUUGGAUUUCAAUAUUUUCCAUAAAGUAUGUUUGCUCUAUAGAAAUUUGUCUUUAUGUUUGGUUCAUUUUGCUUCCCUUGUUUGGGAUUAUGUUUCCCUCUUUUAGGCCAAUGUAUCCGGAGACGUUUCUGUUGUCCGCCAGUAUAUGUAUUUCAACUUGUAUCGUUUCUUUGAAUUUUAAUAAAAUUUCAGACGACAAAAAAAAAAAAAAAU
This 664-nucleotide long non-coding RNA is filed under the name Capsella rubella. Its description in RNAcentral is "long non-coding RNA (CRUB_LNC000842)". The record is from RNAcentral. Lineage: Eukaryota; Viridiplantae; Streptophyta; Magnoliopsida; Brassicales; Brassicaceae.